Molecule: long non-coding RNA, 2100 nt
Filed under: Bos grunniens (domestic yak)
Lineage: Eukaryota; Metazoa; Chordata; Mammalia; Artiodactyla; Bovidae
Description: lncRNA (ENSBGRG00000021092.1)
Rfam family: tRNA (bases 1098-1169)
Source: RNAcentral
CCUGGGCUUGGGAUGGGGCUUUUAGAGCUGAAAGUGUCUCCGAAACAGACUCCGGGGAGGAAAUGGAGUCGGCUAUCGUGUCAGAGACAGGCUCCCAUCUGGUCACAGGCAUGAGGUAGAGCUGAUGUGGCCCUGGAGGGGACAUUAUGCGUCUGGCUGUGCUCUAAGAAAGGCUUGGUGUCUCAUGAUUUCCUUCUUCCCCAGUCCUGCCAGUUUUCGCAAAAAGGAUCCUGAAGAGAAAGGAAAAAAAUUUCCCCAUCUAAAAGUGCAGAUCAGUCCUGGCUUCUCUGGAUUCUGUGCUUUUCGAGUGGAGGAAGCCCAAAGAGGACUACCAAGUUCUUGCACUUCUACAACCAUGGCCCAUGUAAGUUCACGUUUCUCCUCCUUGAGAUGUUGUGGUUUUUAACUCAUGUGAUCACAUUUAUUAUCCUGAAACUUCCUUCCUGAGACAGCACUAUUGCUCAAGUUGCCCUCAGUCACUCUGAUCUCAGUGAAGGAUGGAGCCACACAACUUAGUGACCUUCUUCUUUGCCCCUCAUUUCUCUCUCCAGUGUUCACCUAUUUCGUCACCUCUCCAAGGACUCAGUCUUUCUCAGGACCAUUGGGUGAAGUUGCUUGAGGGAAAUCCUUGAACUUCUCUAGUUAGAGUCAUGAUUCCAUGACACAGAGAUGAUAGUCCGUUAGACUCCACAGACCUGAGUGUUUCAGGUUGAUACGAUGGAAUUUAGUGUUGAUUUUUUUGCACAUGAUGAGAUCUCAUAUUGUAAGAGGUUUAUAGGACUAGGUUGGAGUGUGAUUGAGGCUUGCAUGUCGGAAUCUCAAGGGUCUGUCCAAGGGGUCCCCAGAGGGAUAAAUAACAGGACAGAAGUCAGUUUUGUGCUUGAGGAGGGUGUGCGGGUCUCUAGUGACAUCAGUGUCAUUGUGGAUCAUCCUACAUCAGCAUCCUUCAGCUUAUGUAUACAAAUAAGGGUUCCUUAUGGAUCCAAAUAAGUGUUCCUGAUGGAUGGUGGUGGUAGCAGGUGGGAAGCCCUCCCAGAUCCCUAAUGGGGAAUGAAGAAAGGCUAAGGGACUGCGCUUUAGAAAGAAACACUAGGGCUUCCCUUGUGGCUCAGCUGGUAAAGAAUCCACCUGCAGUGUGGGAGACCUAGGUUCGAUCCCUGGGUUGGGAAGAUCCCCUGGAGAAGGGAAAGGCUACCCAUUCUAGUAUUUUGGCCUGGAGAAUUCCAUGGACUGUAGAGUCCAUGGGGUCACAAAGAGUCAGACAUGACUGAGCAACUUUUCACUUUUAAAGGGACUGGGGGAGACCUUAGACAUUUUGUCCAACCUAAAUGCCUAAAAGUGACAGAAGGAUUAGUCCGAUAUAUCCACAAGUUGGAUGAAUAGCCAGCCAGUAAAUAAAAGAAUUUGUCAUCUGUUGUGACAAGGGAAAAUGCUUAUGACAUUAUCUCAUAAUAAUGAAGCUGAGUAUUGAUUAAAUCAAAUGUCUGCCACUGUGCUGUGCUUAGUCAUGAUUGACUCUUUGCAACCCUAUGCACUGUAGCGUGCCAGGUUCCUCUGUCCGUGGGAUUUUCCAGGGAAGAAUACUGCGAGUAGGUUGCCAUUUCCUCCUCCAGAGGCUCUUCCUGACCCAGGGAUCAAACUCGUGUCUCUUGUGUCUCCUGCAUUGGCAUGCGGAUUCAUUACCAACUGUGCCAAAUCAAAUGUCAGUAAAGUCCUUUCUUAGAGAUUUGGAGUAUUUGGGGGAACAACAAUUCAUUACUUAUUUUUUCUUUUAAUUUUUUGAAAGGAAAACAGAACAUAACUCACAUUUAUUCACAACUUAAACUAUUCACAUGAUAGGCGUGUGCUUAUUUAUAUGAUUUUGUUUCACUGGAAAACUUUAUUCAUUCAUUACAUGAUACACAGGACAUUCUAUUUGUAACAACUGUAUUCUUCAAAAGUAUAUAGGCACUCAAUUUUACAAAUUACUAAUUUUCUUUUUCUUCCAUACAUGUUACAGGCUUGAUGCCAGGUUAAGUGCUUGUUAUAUUGCCUCUUUCCUGCAAAGCAGUCUUCCCCUUUUGAAAAUACAGUUAAAAUAUUGUUUAUAAUACAUGGGUC